This 800-nucleotide ribosomal RNA is filed under the name Devibursaphelenchus sp. m XM-2022. RNAcentral's name for it is "partial large subunit ribosomal RNA". Lineage: Eukaryota; Metazoa; Nematoda; Chromadorea; Rhabditida; Aphelenchoididae. The record is from RNAcentral.
AGUACCGUGAGGGAAAGUUGAAAAGCACUUUGAAAAGAGAGUGCAAGAGAACGUGAAAUCGAUAUAAUGGAAGCGAAUGAAGUCGGCGUAUCUGGUACGUAUUCAGGUGUUGCGUUGGGCAAUCGUUUGGCUGUAAUAUUCCGCAAGGUUAUUCGGUUGAAUGUUUGUUGUUCAAUGUUGGCACUGCACUUGCGUACGGAGUGCGACGAGGCGGUUGAUCACGUYGGUUGAAAUUAUUCAAGGGAGCAGUACGCUUCGGUGUGCUGAAUUUUUGAAUAAUGGACGCUGAUUGGGGUCGUCCGGUUCACGAAAAACGAGUUGGCCUUGAGCGUUCGUGUUGCGAGUUUUUGUAUGAUUUUACGUUGAGCGCAUGCGUUCCGCGUUUAAUUGUGCGGAGAUUUGUUGCAUUUGAACACAAUUCGUUUUUACAUCGUCGUAUAGUCGAUCACUCAUUCGACCCGUCUUGAAACACGGACCAAGGAGUUUACAGUACACGCAAGGCAUUGGGUUUAAGUCGAAACCAAAAAGCCGAAAUGAAAGUGAAACCACUCAGUUGGUUGUGAACACGAUCGGCAAUUCGUACGUUAAAAAUACGAUUGUCGCGCAGUGUUGCCCCAUUCCUGGAGCUUGCUCUGGUGUGGAGGUUGAGCGUGUGCAGUGAGACCCGAAAGAUGGUGAACUAUGCCUGAACAGGAUGAAGUCAGAGGAAACUCUGAUGGAAGUCCGAAGCGGUUCUGACGUGCAAAUCGAUCGUCUGAUUUUGGUAUAGGGGCGAAAGACUAAUCGAACCAUCUAGUAGC